ACCUAUUUGGAUCGACCUUGGAUGUAGUCCGGCGUAACGUGGGCGCAGCUACGCUAUGAUUGCACAAAGCGCACGCUGCUUAGCGCCACCACGCAAUCAUUGUGACUGGCGGUAUUUGGCUUGGUGUACACGAAAUGGCACGCAGGCUUUCUUUGGCGUUGUGAUAUCCCAACCACGAAGUUCGACGUUCAUUAUGCCUCCUUUGAUGUAUUGUGUUCGAUUGUCACAGUGAGAAGGCUUCGCUGGACCUAUACUGACAUUUUGUUUGUUCCCAGACAAAGGAAGACGGCCCCUGGAAUUAGAUGACGGAAUUUCUUGCCACAAUUGCCACAUAGCAAGCCCUUGCAUGCACACACCUGCACCACCUUUGGGUCUAAUGACACAAAGGUCAAGGCCAGCCUGAUGACCAUGCUUGCCAAGGGGAAGUAGUGUAAACAUUUAGUCUCUUUCCAUACUAGCAUAAGACAUGUAUUUUAAGAAAUUCAUCUAUUAUAUCGUGCAAUAAAACAGUUAAUUCAU
Dermacentor albipictus is the source of this 519-nucleotide long non-coding RNA. RefSeq lists it as uncharacterized. The record is from RefSeq and is a predicted model, not a curated record. NCBI's taxonomy places the organism in Eukaryota, Metazoa, Arthropoda, Arachnida, Ixodida, Ixodidae.